AGUUUGAUCCUGGCUCAGAACGAACGCUGGCGGCAUGCCUAACACAUGCAAGUCGAACGAAGGCUUCGGCCUUAGUGGCGCACGGGUGCGUAACGCGUGGGAAUCUGCCCUUGGGUUCGGAAUAACAGCGGGAAACUGUUGCUAAUACCGGAUGAAGACGAAAGUCCAAAGAUUUAUCGCCUGAGGAUGAGCCCGCGUUGGAUUAGGUAGUUGGUGGGGUAAAGGCCUACCAAGCCGACGAUCCAUAGCUGGUCUGAGAGGAUGAUCAGCCACACUGGGACUGAGACACGGCCCAGACUCCUACGGGAGGCAGCAGUGGGGAAUAUUGGACAAUGGGCGAAAGCCUGAUCCAGCAAUGCCGCGUGAGUGAUGAAGGCCUUAGGGUUGUAAAGCUCUUUUACCCGGGAUGAUAAUGACAGUACCGGGAGAAUAAGCCCCGGCUAACUCCGUGCCAGCAGCCGCGGUAA
Molecule: ribosomal RNA, 467 nt
Filed under: uncultured bacterium
Lineage: Bacteria
Description: bacterial SSU rRNA
Rfam family: Bacterial small subunit ribosomal RNA
Source: RNAcentral